GGGGCAAGCCUGAUCCAGCCAUGCCGCGUGUGUGAAGAAGGCCUUCGGUUGUAAGACACUUUAAGCGAGGAGGAAGGUUUUAGUUUAAUACACUAAAGAAUUGACGUUACUCGCAGAAUAAGCACCGGCUAACUCUGUGCCAGCAGCCGCGGUAAUACAGAGGGUGCAAGCGUUAAUCGGAAUUACUGGGCGUAAAGCGCGCGUAGGCGGUUUGUUAAGUCGGAUGUGAAAUCCCUGGGCUCAACCUAGGCACUGCAUCCGAUACUGGCUAACUAGAGUGUGGGAGAGGAAGGUAGAAUUCCAGGUGUAGCGGUGAAAUGCGUAGAGAUCUGGAGGAAUACCGAUGGCGAAGGCAGCCUUCUGGCCUAACACUGACGCUGAGGUGCGAAAGCAUGGGGAGCAAACAGG
This 408-nucleotide ribosomal RNA is filed under the name uncultured bacterium. RNAcentral describes it as "bacterial SSU rRNA". It matches the Rfam family "Bacterial small subunit ribosomal RNA", at positions 374 to 776 of the family's 1533-position model. The record is from RNAcentral.